UACGUAGGGUGCAAGCGUUGUCCGGAAUUAUUGGGCGUAAAGAGCUCGUAGGCGGUUUGUCGCGUCUGCUGUGAAAACGCGAGGCUCAACCUCGCGCCUGCAGUGGGUACGGGCAGACUAGAGUGCGGUAGGGGGAGAUUGGAAUUCCUAGUGUAGCGGUGAAAUGCGCAGAUAUUAGGAGGAACACCGGUGGCGAAGGCGCCACUCUGGGCCGAAACUGACGCUGAGGAGCGAAAGCGUGGGGAGCGAACAGG
Molecule: ribosomal RNA, 254 nt
Filed under: uncultured bacterium
Lineage: Bacteria
Description: partial 16S ribosomal RNA
Rfam family: Bacterial small subunit ribosomal RNA
Source: RNAcentral